GACGAACGCUGACGGUGUGCUUUAGGCAUGCAAGUCGAACGAGAAAGCCCUUCGGGGUGAGUAAAGUGGCGAACGGGUGAGUAACACGUGGGCAACCUGCCCCUCGCAGGGGAACAACCGGAGGAAACGCCGGCUAAUACCCCGUAAGCUUUCAGGGUCGCAUGGCCUUGAAAGGAAAGGUAGCUUCGGCCAUCCGGCGAGGGAUGGGCCCGCGGUGCAUUAGCUAGUUGGUGGGGUAAAGGCCCACCAAGGCGACGAGCGUAGCUGGUCUGAGAGGAUGAUCAGCCACACUGGGACUGAGACACGGCCCAGACUCCUACGGGAGGCAGCAGCCAGGAAUCUUGGGCAAUGGGCAAAGCCUGACCCAGCAACACCGUGUGGGCGAU
This 386-nucleotide ribosomal RNA is filed under the name uncultured bacterium. RNAcentral's name for it is "bacterial SSU rRNA". It matches the Rfam family "Bacterial small subunit ribosomal RNA", at positions 28 to 409 of the family's 1533-position model. The record is from RNAcentral.